RNAcentral lists this long non-coding RNA (1019 nucleotides) under Heterocephalus glaber (naked mole-rat). RNAcentral's name for it is "lncRNA (ENSHGLG00000038364.1)". The record is from RNAcentral. Lineage: Eukaryota; Metazoa; Chordata; Mammalia; Rodentia; Bathyergidae.
AAUGCCUGCUGCUUCUCCAAGCCUUCAUGGAAGGCGAUUUCUUUCCAGCGCAUCUCCAGAGAUGGCUAGGCCCUGCUCUCCCUGGACACCCUGCUCUGUCCCAUCCUGAGGACAGUGCCUAGAGCAGACUGGCCCAUGUCGUGUCCUUUCCCAAAGUCCAGAGGCAAGGAGACAGGCACUGACAGACAUUUGAGCCAGAUAAAUAGGAGAGGCCCAGGGUUCUACUGGCUACACAAAGAGCAGACAGAGUUCAGAGAGGGAGUGCACAUCUAUGACCAGGAGUCCAGGAAAGAGUAAUGGAAGAAGAGAUAUCAGAGCUCAACUCAGUCCUUAAGGAGCCCACACCUGGCAGUUCCUGUGUGUGAAUCCCAAGCAAUCCACACGUUCAGGUUUGAUUUGCCCUGUGGAGAAGCUUGGAGACCUCAGAGUGGAGGCAGUGAUGCCAAUGUCUACUUGAGUCAAGGAAGAUGGCAGCCAAAGAUUUCCAGCCACGAGCAAUGCUUCCUCCAAGAUGACCAGGCUGGGCUUUAUCCCGAGCUCCGUUCAAACCACACAGACAGCAAGCAGGGGUGCGGAGAUGCAGUCCGCUGAGCUGGCCCUGGGGCCAGGCACCCUUCUGGAGGAGUCGGACAAGCCCCACAGUGAAGAAACUACCAGCCAGGGCUCUAGUCCCUGGGACCGAUCCCCACCCGUGCUGUCCGGUCCAUUUUGGCUUACUUUGCAGACAUGGUCACAGACGUACUAAGCCUUUCAAGGUGGCUUGGUAAGAAGAGUAGGCUUGGAUUGUACGGAAUCAGAGUGAGGGGUGGUGGCCCAGGUGAAAGGCUGGCUCCCAAAAAGAUGGGAAGUUUGAGUCUGUUUUCCACUGCCAAGAGUUUUGGAAACCUUGGGUUCAUCUAAGCCAGCACCCUGGAGAGAUGCCAGCACAGAGACUCUGGACCUUACAGGGGGUCCAGGACCUUACAGGACCCGACCCUGCAGGAGCCAGAGCCUUUCCCUGGGGUCCAAAAGAAGCUGAG